UGCCAGCCGCCGCGGUAAUACGGAGGGUGCAAGCGUUAAUCGGAAUUACUGGGCGUAAAGCGUGCGUAGGCGGAUCGACAAGUUGGGGGUGAAAUCCCGGGGCUUAACCCCGGAACUGCCCUCGAAACUGUCGAUCUAGAGACCGGGAGAGGUAAGCGGAAUACCGAGUGUAGAGGUGAAAUUCGUAGAUAUUGGGAAGAACACCAGUGGCGAAGGCGGCUAACUGGCUCGGUACUGACGCUGAGAUGCGAAAGCGUGGGGAGCAAACAGGAUUAGAUA
Molecule: ribosomal RNA, 279 nt
Filed under: uncultured bacterium
Lineage: Bacteria
Description: partial 16S ribosomal RNA
Rfam family: Bacterial small subunit ribosomal RNA
Source: RNAcentral